GGGCCCCUAGCUCAGUCGGUUAGAGCAGGCGACUCAUAAUCGCUUGGUCGUGGGUUCGAGUCCCACGGGGCCCACCA
Molecule: transfer RNA, 77 nt
Filed under: Planctomycetota bacterium
Lineage: Bacteria; Pseudomonadati; Planctomycetota
Description: tRNA-Ile
Rfam family: tRNA
About the family: Transfer RNA (tRNA) molecules are approximately 80 nucleotides in length. Their secondary structure includes four short double-helical elements and three loops (D, anti-codon, and T loops).
Source: RNAcentral